This 321-nucleotide ribosomal RNA is filed under the name uncultured bacterium. RNAcentral's name for it is "bacterial SSU rRNA". It matches the Rfam family "Bacterial small subunit ribosomal RNA", at positions 470 to 789 of the family's 1533-position model. The record is from RNAcentral.
UGACGGUACCACUUGAAUAAGCUCCGGCUAACUACGUGCCAGCAGCCGCGGUAAUACGUAGGGAGCAAGCGUUAUCCGGAUUUACUGGGUGUAAAGGGAGCGUAGGCGGUGAUGCAAGUCAGAAGUGAAAACCCGGGGCUCAACCCCGUGGAUUGCUUUUGAGACUGUGUUGCUGGAGUACAGGAGGGGCAGGCGGAAUUCCUGGUGUAGCGGUGAAAUGCGUAGAUAUCAGGAGGAACACCAGUGGCGAAGGCGGCCUGCUGGACUGUAACUGACGCUGAGGCUCGAAGGCGUGGGGAGCAAACAGGAUUAGAUACCCUG